Molecule: transfer RNA, 69 nt
Filed under: Marmota monax (woodchuck)
Lineage: Eukaryota; Metazoa; Chordata; Mammalia; Rodentia; Sciuridae
Description: tRNA.Ala
Source: RNAcentral
GGAGUUGUGGCUCAGCGGUCAAGUGCUCGCCCAGCAUGUGUGAGGCCCUGGGUUCAAUCCCCAGCACCA